GGAAGCUAGCUAAUAUGCUAAAGCGCUAAGCUAAAAAUUAGCUCAGCUUUUAGCGGGUUAGCAGA
Xiphophorus couchianus (Monterrey platyfish) is the source of this 65-nucleotide long non-coding RNA. RefSeq lists it as uncharacterized. The transcript is spliced from 3 exons. The record is from RefSeq and is a predicted model, not a curated record. Lineage: Eukaryota; Metazoa; Chordata; Actinopteri; Cyprinodontiformes; Poeciliidae.